Molecule: non-coding RNA, 714 nt
Organism: Arachis ipaensis
Lineage: Eukaryota; Viridiplantae; Streptophyta; Magnoliopsida; Fabales; Fabaceae
Source: RefSeq, a predicted model, not a curated record
AAUCAAGCUUUAUUCUUCAUUCAUGCUUCUGUCCGCAGAGAAGAGAGGGAAGGAAAGCAAACAUAAAACCCUUGCCACUCAAAUAUUUAAUCUUCCAUAACUUUUGAUCUGGAGCUCCGAUUGACGAACCGUUUAGGGCCACACGUUCGUCUCGGAGUCCUCUUCAAUUCUAUCUGAAUAAAGUGGUGCAAUCUAACAUUGGAUAAUUGUUGGAUUAUACUCCAAUACUCAAUGGGUAAGAUUGAAUUUAUGUUAAAUUGGAGGUUGAAUUGGUGAAUUGGAGCUCUUGGAACAAAUCCUUGGUGGCUGGAAUUAUUGGAGUUGAUUGAGAACCUUGAAGCUUGAAUUUUAGUGGUUUUGAGCUUAGGGAGGAAUCGACCAAGAUGCAGGAUAUGAGGCACCUUGCUGAGGCAUACUGGAAGCUUCUGAUAGCGGAGAUCCUUGUCUUUGGGGCUUUAUUUUGGAUAUAUGUAUAUACGUAGAUACUUUUAUCUCCACUACGUAUGUACUAAUGUAUUAACUUCCUCUUAGAGGUUAUUCUAGAGAAAUAGAUUCUGUAACUCUGUAUUUUGGGUUUAUUCUUGGGUUCUCUUAUAUAUAUAUGUUAUAUAGCUAUGUACUCAAGCCGAUUUAUCUUCGCGAGCCGAGUCUUGAGCUUUAAUAUUUGUACCUUGGAACUCUCUUUCGGUUAUAUCUAUAUUAUCUUCUCUUAUC